CACAGGGAAGAGAUACACAAGCACUUGGAAAUGCUUGUCAAGGCCACAAUUCCUAUCCAAUUGCUACGUCACAGAAAGAAAAGAAGGUCCAUUCACACAUACGUCCCAGACUUCACAGAGGACAAACUCCAUCCUUGCUCCAACCAUGCACCAGGUUUCCAUGUGACCAAGAAGUUUUUGGAAGCAUUUACCAGUUACUUCUGGAAAUCUGGAUCUCAGCUAUUUUAUCCAGCUUUGGGAAGGAAAUGCUGCAUAUGAGCCUCAUCCUCCUGUGGCUCUGUAUGACCAGCUGUACCGAAGUGAGCAAGAGUGAGGUUAACCCUGCAACCAAAACCCUACAGCCACAGAGCAGCUGGGUGCCACUGACAUACAGCCACGAGGAAACAUGGACAGCGUCCGGCACAACACACAGCUCCGUAAAUGUGGAAACAGCUUUCUGCUAUGUUUCUUUUUGCUUUAGUGGCUCAUUACAUUACCUCAGCCAAACGCAAGAGUAAAUAGUAAGAUAGAGACUUCUAAUUGAUAUUUUCUGCUUGUCUGUUUAUAUAAAUAAAAUUGCUAUCUGCAA
Molecule: long non-coding RNA, 568 nt
Organism: Gallus gallus (chicken)
Lineage: Eukaryota; Metazoa; Chordata; Aves; Galliformes; Phasianidae
Exons: 2
Source: RefSeq, a predicted model, not a curated record